CUGGAAAACUAGGGAAUUUAUUGACAGUUCCCUGAAUUUUGUAACCCUAGUUGUGUCCCAAUAACUGUUCUUCAGAAGGAUGUCUCCACCAAAAUGUAUAAUAUUCCCUUGACCUUGUCCCUCCAUACACUCCCCGUCCUAUCCUAGGUCUCCCCCUGUCUAACUUAACUAGUAUUACAGAGUGUAGAAUACCACAUCAUUCAUUCCCCAAUUGAUAAGACUUUUGUAUUCUGUUUUUUGUCUUAUAUCUAGAAUAAUUGUAAGUUAAGACAUUCAACUCAAACUGUGAAUAUGUGUGUCCUCUGCUCUGGUCUCCCCCAUCACCAGGAGCAGAAGGAGCUGUGCCAGGAGAGGGCCUGUGAGAGUAUAGUGAUGUGAUUGACCACUCUCUCUGUGGUACAACUGCUGCUGACUCAUCCUGCAUUACCUGCAGGACUCAGGGAGGAGAGGUGUCUGCUAGAGUUCCCCUGUAUGAACCCUCUAGCGGCUCAGCUGAUGUUGAGGAGGGGCCCCUCUCGCCACUGGCUCCUGGGGGCCACCCCUCUCCCAGUUGCAGGAGCUGCUCUCUGAGGUCCCUCACAAAGUCAUCAAGCUCUUCAGUGACACCCCGUCUCUGUACAAGCUGACUGCAGCAGCCUCCUCUCCAGAGUCUCACACUGAGUUCACUCAUCAGAAAGACCACAGUAGCUCCACCGACCCUUCUGCCACCAGCAGAGACAACCAACACCCACACACUGCAACCAACACCCACACACCGCGACCCACACACACACCGCGACCCACACACACACCGCGACCCACCCA
This is a non-coding RNA of Salmo salar (Atlantic salmon), 804 nucleotides long. NCBI's taxonomy places the organism in Eukaryota, Metazoa, Chordata, Actinopteri, Salmoniformes, Salmonidae. The record is from RefSeq and is a predicted model, not a curated record.